This 489-nucleotide ribosomal RNA is filed under the name uncultured bacterium. RNAcentral describes it as "partial 16S ribosomal RNA". It matches the Rfam family "Bacterial small subunit ribosomal RNA", at positions 30 to 506 of the family's 1533-position model. The record is from RNAcentral.
AUUGAACGCUGGCGGCAGGCCUAACACAUGCCAGUCGAACGGUAACAGGAAACAGCUUGCUGUUUCGCUGACGAGUGGCGGACGGGUGAGUAAUGUCUGGGAAACUGCCUGAUGGAGGGGGAUAACUACUGGAAACGGUAGCUAAUACCGCAUAACGUCGCAAGACCAAAGAGGGGGACCCUCGGGCCUCUUGCCAUCGGAUGUGCCCAGAUGGGAUUAGCUUGUUGGUGGGGUAACGGCUCACCAAGGCGACGAUCCCUAGCUGGUCUGAGAGGAUGACCAGCCACACUGGAACUGAGACACGGUCCAGACUCCUACGGGAGGCAGCAGUGGGGAAUAUUGCACAAUGGGCGCAAGCCUGAUGCAGCCAUGCCGCGUGUAUGAAGAAGGCCUUCGGGUUGUAAAGUACUUUCAGCGGGGAGGAAGGGAGUAAAGUUAAUACCUUUGCUCAUUGACGUUACCCGCAGAAGAAGCACCGGCUAACUCCGU